Molecule: long non-coding RNA, 636 nt
Organism: Armigeres subalbatus
Lineage: Eukaryota; Metazoa; Arthropoda; Insecta; Diptera; Culicidae
Exons: 3
Source: RefSeq, a predicted model, not a curated record
CGGGUUAAAAAAUUUGUCUAAGAAUUGUUUUAUUCGGAAUUUCCUUCAGGAAUUCCUUGAGCGAUACUUUUAGAAAUCCUUUCAGGUUGUUGCGUACCAAAGCCGCUAGCAACGAACUUCCAUCAAAAUGUAGCACGUCUAAACGGUGCAUAAGAAAUGUGUCUAUUUCAAAUAUUGAAUAAUCAAGAUUCGCUAGGUGUUAUCCCCCUUUAACGAUCAGUUUAUUGAACAAACACUAAGAUAACGUUGAACUAUUAUCUAUAUUGAAACAAUUAGGAAAAAACGUCACUUAUCAUUAGCCAGCAAGAAUUGAAGUCGUCAGGCAGUGAGGUGUGCAUAUGUGAAUUACCAAAAUUAUAUAAUAUAACUUUAUCAUAACACCUUUUUUCUACAGUUAAAGUUACAGUAAAAUUGAUAAUCCAUGCUCUUAGACCAAAAUUAUACCUAAACUUAAACAAAGAUACAAAAAGGACAGCACUCCAGCGUGAACAAAUCUAAUUUCCCUAUACAAUUUGCUUAUAACUAGAGACACUAAACGAAAUUUCUAACCCUACCGUACCCGAUCUUCUGAGUGGGAAAAUAAAGGUUAUAAUUACGGAAACGUUUAUGCAAAAUUAUUUCGUUGCAACGGCAACA